Drosophila melanogaster (fruit fly) is the source of this 524-nucleotide non-coding RNA. The record is from Ensembl. NCBI's taxonomy places the organism in Eukaryota, Metazoa, Arthropoda, Insecta, Diptera, Drosophilidae.
AGCAAGUUGUAAGGUGUAAAUAAUUCAAUCAAUCAUUUGUCAACAGUUUCGGCUUCCGUUUAGCAAUCUAGCCUCCGAUUCAGGGUCAGCCGCUGGCUUUUGGCAGCCAGCAGCAUAUUCUCUGAUAUGUAAUUGGCAUGUCAAAGAGUUUCCAGCCCGCCCGCCUCCUUCGGCAUCCAUUGGCAUCCCUGGUUAAUCCACAUCCUGAACCCUCACAGUGACUCUAUUGAAUUGUCAGUUUGCUGUUGGUCGCUGUAGUGAAUCAAUCUGUCAGAUGAAAGGGGAAUCCAGCUGGCAGAGAUCUGGUGAAAGGCGUGAAAGGAUUGUUCAGGAUUUGGGGGAGAUGCUGACAAGGGGGCUGGGCAAUGACCAAAUGAUAAGGCAUCGAUGGGCAAACUGACAGCGGAGAUGCCUUUGUGGAAAGACAAAUAAAUUAGGUACUUUCAUUGGGUAUUUGAUUAAUUGCUUUGUUAACGCGGUUUUUAAAAGAGUCAAUAUAAUCUUCAAUUUGAAUUUAGCAUUAG